UUUAGACUAUAAAAAUGAUGACAUUGCUUGUUUAAAAAAUUAUGGGGAAAAAAAUUAUGAUUCUUUCUAAUUCCAGGACAAGAGAAUAUAAAAAGAGCCAUUGCACAGUGCCAAAGAAGCACAAAGCUAAACUGCAUAGUGCCAAUUGAGCACAAGGUCAAAGAGACCAACCAAUCCUGAUGAGAUUGAUGAAAUUUUUGAGCCAAGAAAAGAGGACUUGAACUUGUUUGGGGUUCGAGGUUGUGACUGUUUAACAUGUGUUAAAAGGCAGGUCUUCCUUGUCCCAUAUUCUACCAAGUAUCUCAAAUUUGGUUCCUAUCUGGCUCGUAUAAUCUAGUCCCUUUUCUGUCUUUCAUAGUGUGGCAAACUUUCUAUAGUCCUGGCUACUGAUUGGGUAAAUGCAUAAUUGCUUAAGUCAUUUUAAUUGGGCUCUGAUUCAAGGACCUGUUAUAGACUUAUUUUUCCUUUACUUAGAAUUUUUAUACAUUAGACUUUGAUAGUCUAUAUUUUGUCCAGAAAUUAUUUUUUUAAUUUGGAUUUUUAAAUAUUUUUUAUUUCUCUUGCCAAUUGAUUCAUGCACCUCACAAUUCAGCCAUGUAUCCCUAAGUGAUCCCUGUGUUUUUCAAUCAUCCUCUUCAAGGGGUUAUAUAUAAUUAUUAUUAUUUUAAAUUGCAGAGUAUAAAUUCCUUUUUAGAGUAAUUUUAGGUUAAGAAACAUGCUAUGUCUCCCAAUCCAGAAAGUGAACAGUUUGGAGAAGACACCAUGAAGAUGCCUCCACAGACCACAUGUUGCACUAGAAGAUUCAGAGUGAACUUUGGGAUGUGUGAUGCAGCAAGUAUGGUGGUAAGGUGGGGAUGGCUGAAAUCGCUAACCAGCCAUGGGCAGGUGGUUUUUAUUUUGUAUCCUCUUUAUUCCUUGAUUUCUAAUUAUCCUUAAUAAACCUCAUAAAAUAUAAUGAUUUUAUUAUUAGAGAUAUAAUUUAAUUUUUAUAUAUGUUCAUUAGGGAGAUUGGUCUAUAGCUUUCAUUCUCUGUUUUUGACCUGCCUGGCUUUGGAAUCAGUACCAUAUUUUUUUAAUAAGAGCAAUUUGGUAGAAUUCCUUCUUUGCUUAUUCUGUCAAAUAGUUUGUAUAGUAUUGGAGUUAGUUGUUCUUUGAAUGUCUGGUGGAAUUCACUUGUCAAUCCAUCAGGCCCUGGGGAUUUUUUUCUUAAGGAGUUCUUUGAUGGCUUGUUCAAUUUCUUUUUCUGAUAUGGAAUUAUUUAAGAAUUCUAUUUCUUCUUCUAUUAAUCUAGGCAAUUUAUAUUUUUGAAAAUAUUCAUCCAUAUCACCUAGGUUGCCAUAUUUAUUGCCAUAUAAUUGAGCAUAAUAGUUUUUAAUUAUUGCCUUAAUUCCCUCUUCAUUAGAGUUGGGGUCUCUCUUUUCAUCUAUGAUCCUUUUAAUUUGGUUUUCUUCUUUCCAUUUUUAUUAGAUUAACCAGUAGUUUGUCUAUUUUAUUUGUUUUUUUUCAAAAUAUCAGCUUCUAGCCUUAUUUAUUAAUUCAAUAGUUC
Molecule: long non-coding RNA, 1546 nt
Filed under: Monodelphis domestica (gray short-tailed opossum)
Lineage: Eukaryota; Metazoa; Chordata; Mammalia; Didelphimorphia; Didelphidae
Description: lncRNA (ENSMODG00000044982.1)
Source: RNAcentral